GAUGAACGCUGGCGGCGUGCUUAACACAUGCAAGUCGAACGAAGCACUUAAUGAGAUUUCUUCGGAUUGAUUAUUUUGUGACUGAGUGGCGGACGGGUGAGUAACGCGUGGGUAACCUGCCCCAGACCGGGGGAUAACAGUCGGAAACGACUGCUAAUACCGCAUAAGCGCACAGUGCCGCAUGGCACGGUGUGAGAAACUCCGGUGGUCUGGGAUGGACCCGCGUCCGAUUAGUUAGUUGGCGGGGUAACGGCCCACCAAGACCGCGAUCGGUAGCCGACCUGAGAGGGUGACCGGCCACAUUGGGACUGAGACACGGCCCAGACUCCUACGGGAGGCAGCAGUGGGGAAUAUUGCACAAUGGAGGAAACUCUGAUGCAGCGACGCCGCGUGAGCGAAGAAGUAUUUCGGUAUGUAAAGCUCUGUCAGCAGGGAAGAUAAAUGACGGUACCUGACCAAGAAGCCCCGGCUAACUACGUG
RNAcentral lists this ribosomal RNA (480 nucleotides) under uncultured bacterium. RNAcentral describes it as "bacterial SSU rRNA". It matches the Rfam family "Bacterial small subunit ribosomal RNA", at positions 28 to 507 of the family's 1533-position model. The record is from RNAcentral.